Molecule: non-coding RNA, 143 nt
Organism: Aspergillus hancockii
Lineage: Eukaryota; Fungi; Ascomycota; Eurotiomycetes; Eurotiales; Aspergillaceae
Source: the annotation of a GenBank genome assembly
GCCCCUAUAGCUCAGUGGUAGAGCGCUUCACUGUAAGUUGAUUGGCUGAGAAUCGCCGACUGAAUCAUAAAUAUUGACCUUAAUAGCGUAGUGUACUUGAACGUGCUAUGAAGAGGUCCAUCGUUCGAACCGGUGUGGGGGCA